This 253-nucleotide ribosomal RNA is filed under the name uncultured bacterium. RNAcentral's name for it is "partial 16S ribosomal RNA". It matches the Rfam family "Bacterial small subunit ribosomal RNA", at positions 524 to 776 of the family's 1533-position model. The record is from RNAcentral.
GACGUAGGGGCCGAGCGUUGUCCGGAGUUACUGGGCGUAAAGCGCGCGCAGGCGGUCGUUCGCAUCGUCGGUGAAAGCCCCCCGCUCAACGGGGGAGGGUCCGGCGAGAUGGGGCGACUGGAGGCAGGGAGAGGCCAGUGGAAUUCCGGGUGUAGUGGUGAAAUGCGUAGAGAUCCGGAGGAACACCGGUGGCGAAGGCGGCUGGCUGGACCUGACCUGACGCUGAGGCGCGAAGGCGUGGGGAGCGAACGGG